This 178-nucleotide small RNA is filed under the name Chelonoidis abingdonii (Abingdon island giant tortoise). RNAcentral describes it as "TUC338 (ENSCABG00000015776.1)". The record is from RNAcentral. Lineage: Eukaryota; Metazoa; Chordata; Testudines; Testudinidae.
UAGAUAGCCCUGGAGACUUAAAUCCUCCAUUUAUCCACAGAAGAGUUACAGCACACAUAGAAACAAUGCACGCUGCCUCCCAAUGUCCUGCCACAUUACCUCAGCCCUUCUAAAGAGGGCCCAUCUUCAGAGAAUGAGAAAGUAGUUCUGUCUCUUGCGCAUUCAGUGCUUGGGUUCU